UUCGGGGUUAGUGGCGCACGGGUGCGUAACGCGUGGGAACCUGCCUUUAGGUUCGGAAUAACUCAGAGAAAUUUGAGCUAAUACCGGAUAAUGUCUUCGGACCAAAGAUUUAUCGCCUUUAGAUGGGCCCGCGUUAGAUUAGAUAGUUGGUGGGGUAAUGGCCUACCAAGUCGACGAUCUAUAGCUGGUCUGAGAGGAUGAUCAGCCCACUGGGACUGAGACACGGCCCAGACUCCUACGGGAGGCAGCAGUGGGGAAUAUUGGACAAUGGCGGAAAGCCUGAUCCAGCAAUGCCCGCGUGAGUGAUGAAGGCCUUAGGGGUUGUAAAGCUCUUUUCCAGGGAUGAUAAUGACAGUACCUGGAGAAUAAGCCUCCGGCUAACUCCGUGCCAGCAGCCGCGGUU
This 403-nucleotide ribosomal RNA is filed under the name marine bacterium SIMO-IS156. RNAcentral's name for it is "bacterial SSU rRNA". It matches the Rfam family "Bacterial small subunit ribosomal RNA", at positions 85 to 522 of the family's 1533-position model. Lineage: Bacteria; Pseudomonadati; Pseudomonadota; Alphaproteobacteria. The record is from RNAcentral.